Molecule: ribosomal RNA, 229 nt
Filed under: uncultured bacterium
Lineage: Bacteria
Description: partial 16S ribosomal RNA
Rfam family: Bacterial small subunit ribosomal RNA
Source: RNAcentral
GUAACACGUAUGCAACCUACCUAUAACUGGGGGAUAGCCCGAAGAAAUUCGGAUUAAUGCCCCAUAUGCUCGUACGGCCUCAUGGUCGAGCGAGGAAAGCUCCGGCGGUAAGAGAUGGGCAUGCGUCCUAUUAGCUUGUUGGUGAGGUAAUGGCUCACCAAGGCUACGAUAGGUAGGGGUUCUGAGAGGAUGAUCCCCCACACUGGUACUGAGACACGGACCAGACUCC